UACCAUGGAGGGACUAACUUUGGAAGAACCUCUGCACAUUAUGUAACCACUCGAUACUAUGAUGAUGCACCUCUUGAUGAAUAUGGUUUAGAGAAAGAGCCUAAGUAUGGUCAUCUUAAGCAACUUCACAACGCUCUUAACCUCUGCAAGAAGCCACUUCUUUGGGGUCAGCCUAAAACAGAAAAACCUGGAAAAGAUACAGAGGUACUAACAUCAUAUAUAAAUAUCUACACAUAAAAUGUAAUAAAAUAAAGACUCUGAUUCUUUCCAAAAUAAUCAAGAGGAUUUAACUUUCUUUUGCUAUGUAAUCACAGAUUAGAUACUACGAACAACCUGGAACGAAAACUUGCGCAGCUUUCUUGGCUAACAAUAACACUGAAGCUGCAGAAACCAUCAAAUUCAAGGGGAGAGAAUACGUGAUAGCGCCUCGUUCCAUUAGUAUUCUUCCAGAUUGCAAAACUGUUCUUUACAACACUGCACAG
RNAcentral lists this long non-coding RNA (482 nucleotides) under Capsella rubella. RNAcentral's name for it is "long non-coding RNA (CRUB_LNC001279)". Lineage: Eukaryota; Viridiplantae; Streptophyta; Magnoliopsida; Brassicales; Brassicaceae. The record is from RNAcentral.